AUAAGCGUUAAGCAUGUUAAUAAUAAAAAUAUACAGGAAAAUAUUUGAUUCCUUUCGUAAAUGUUUCUAAAAUAACGUUUUCAAUUAGAAAGCUUAAUAAUUAGGUGUCGUGUAAAAAUUAAUUUGCCACAUUAAUGUCUUAAAAACUAAGGAAUUGUCUAGAAAUAUAAAUGUUGUUAUUAUAAGAAUUUGUAAUGAAGUAAAACUGUUUUGAAUGUGUUUUUUAAAUUUAAAAUGUUUUUGAAAAUAAAACUGUGAAAUUUUUAACGUUUAGUUAAAUACAGUAAACAAUUAAGUUAAAGGAUAUUUCACACAAAGCAUUCUGAGGUUAUUAAUAAACUUUAAGACUCUUGCGGGUACCAUUUUAUGAGGAAUUUGAAAUAGACUCGAAAUCAUUUCAUAAUGCGUAGUCUGAAUUUUGUGACGUAUCAUAGUAUAUGAUUUAAUGUAUACGACUAGACAUUAAAGCCAGAGACUAUUUCAACUGCCAAACAUAGUUUAAAAAUAGAGCUAAGCCGUACUUUGACUGCCACAUUCAUAAUUUAGUCUGUGAUUAUUUGCGCUUUGUGUAAAAUAAUCCUGAAAAUAUUUCCCGUCAUUUUUUAAAUUGUAAAGUUCUAAAGUGCCUAGUUUCUUAGAAAUGUAAAAACGGUUCAUAGAUUUCAGUUUAUGUUAGCUAUUUUCGGAUUAAUUUUAGACGUUCCUAAACCGUUAGACAGCUUUGAAACUAAAUGUGUCAAACGCUAUUUAUUAGAGCCAAUGUUGGGUAUUUGUAAGUUUUGUAAGAGCGUGGACUGUAAUUUCUAAAGCAAAUCGCAGGAAUGGAGAUAGGUCACUUUGCCUAUUAGCUAAAAAGAUGCCAAAAAGUAUUCUAAGCAAAAGCAAGUUGGAUUUAGACUAAUAAGUGCCAAAUUAUAAAGUGCCCUGUUUCCUUUUCUUGAUUUGCAAAACUACCACUUCGGUAGCUUAUGAGGUUUUUAAUAAAUGAAAUACAUAGAAA
This is a long non-coding RNA of Aricia agestis (brown argus), 1000 nucleotides long. RefSeq lists it as uncharacterized. Lineage: Eukaryota; Metazoa; Arthropoda; Insecta; Lepidoptera; Lycaenidae. The transcript is spliced from 2 exons. The record is from RefSeq and is a predicted model, not a curated record.